This 497-nucleotide ribosomal RNA is filed under the name uncultured bacterium. Its description in RNAcentral is "partial 16S ribosomal RNA". It matches the Rfam family "Bacterial small subunit ribosomal RNA", at positions 28 to 507 of the family's 1533-position model. The record is from RNAcentral.
GACGAACGCUGGCGGCGUGCCUAAUACAUGCAAGUUGAGCGCUGAAGGUUGGUACUUGUACCAACUGGAUGAGCAGCGAACGGGUGAGUAACGCGUGGGGAAUCUGCCUUUGAGUGGGGGACAACAUUUGGAAACGAAUGCUAAUACCGCAUAAAAACUUUAAACACAAGUUUUAAGUUUGAAAGAUGCAAUUGCAUCACUCAAAGAUGAUCCCGCGUUGUAUUAGCUAGUUGGUGAGGUAAAGGCUCACCAAGGCGAUGAUACAUAGCCGACCUGAGAGGGUGAUCGGCCACAUUGGGACUGAGACACGGCCCAAACUCCUACGGGAGGCAGCAGUAGGGAAUCUUCGGCAAUGGACGAAAGUCUGACCGAGCAACGCCGCGUGAGUGAAGAAGGGUUUCGGAUCGUAAAACUCUGUUGGUAGAGAAGAACGUUGGUGAGAGUGGAAAGCUCAUCAAGUGACGGUAACUACCCAGAAAGGGACGGCUAACUACGUG